Molecule: long non-coding RNA, 891 nt
Organism: Elaeis guineensis (African oil palm)
Lineage: Eukaryota; Viridiplantae; Streptophyta; Magnoliopsida; Arecales; Arecaceae
Product: anaphase-promoting complex subunit 13
Source: RefSeq, a predicted model, not a curated record
CACAAAACCCUAGCCAUCUGAACUUCCCUUUACGGUCGCUCCGGCCGCCCACCCGAUUGAGACUCCUGAGGACGUAAAAGACCGAGGACAAACCGGAGGAAAACACUGGAGAGACGAAAACCAAGGAAAGACGGAAAAAAUUGAAAGGGCCUUCAAAUAUUUGUUAUCCUCAUUGGUGGAAUAAAUCAGGGGUAGAAGAGAAAGGAAAGGGUGGAAGAUGGCAGAGCUGCUGAGCAUGGGCAUCCUGAUAGACAUUGUGGAUGAGGAAUGGAUGAGAGACACCCUCCCCAAGGAUGAUAUUCCUCUACCGGUUGCAAUGGCUUCCAGAACUGAAGAUGCUGAAGAACCAAUUUGCUUUGUGAUUACCAGAUCAGGAAAACCAACCAGUGGAAGGGGAUGUUUGGCGUGAUCUUGCCCUAGAGAAUCUUUGAGCCUUCAAUUCUGUGCAAGCUGGUCAAUGUGAAGAGAAAUGUGGCGUCAACAAGUCAAUGUCUUGGGUAAGCAAUGCUGGUGGUGAUCUUUUGUCUAUGCUGUUGUUAGCUUAUCUUUGAAUUGCCUGGCAGGGAAUCUGCAGUAUGAUCCAUUCCUUCCAAACUUUUAGUGGAUGCUUCUAAAGAUACUUUACUAGGUGACCAUAAGAAAUUUGAGGAAGAAUAUUCCCUAUAUGUUGUGAUAAUAGUUGUUGUUAUGGGUAAAAAAUUCUUUUCUCGAUAAAACCGAUGCACAGAGAACCGGGGUCUGCUCUGAUCUUGAUGUUAGUCGAAUUAAGGCACUUGAGUUGAUCUUUCCCGUUAUACGGGAAAGAUCUACCUCCCUAUGGAUCUUCAAGUUCUGUGACUAUCAGAGCAAGAGCAACUAAUGACGAGCAAAUAAGGAAGGAGAUGACAAAUA